GGAGAGUUGGCCGAGAGGAUUAAGGCACCGGUCUUGAAAACCGACGUAGGGGAAACCCUGCCGUGAGUUCGAAUCUCACACUCUCCG
This 87-nucleotide transfer RNA is filed under the name Xanthomonas phage vB_XciM_LucasX. It matches the Rfam family "tRNA". From Rfam's summary of the family: Transfer RNA (tRNA) molecules are approximately 80 nucleotides in length. Their secondary structure includes four short double-helical elements and three loops (D, anti-codon, and T loops). Lineage: Duplodnaviria; Heunggongvirae; Uroviricota; Caudoviricetes. The record is from Rfam by way of RNAcentral.